UACAGAGGGUGCGAGCGUUAAUCGGAAUUACUGGGCGUAAAGCGCGCGUAGGCGGCUUUGCAAGUCGGGUGUGAAAUCCCCAGGCUUAACCUGGGAACUGCAUUCGAGACUGCAUUGCUAGAGUAUGGGAGAGGGAAGUGGAAUUUCCGGUGUAGCGGUGAAAUGUGUAGAUAUCGGAAGGAACAUCAGUGGCGAAAGCGGCUUCCUGGACCAGUACCGACGUUCAGGCACGAAAGCGUGGGGAGCAAACAGG
Molecule: ribosomal RNA, 253 nt
Filed under: uncultured bacterium
Lineage: Bacteria
Description: partial 16S ribosomal RNA
Rfam family: Bacterial small subunit ribosomal RNA
Source: RNAcentral